AGUGAACGCUGGCGGUAGGCCUAACACAUGCAAGUCGAACGGCAGCACAGUAAGAGCUUGCUCUUACGGGUGGCGAGUGGCGGACGGGUGAGGAAUACAUCGGAAUCUACUUUUUCGUGGGGGGUAACGUAGGGAAACUUACGCUAAUACCGCAUACGACCUACGGGUGAAAGCAGGGGAUCUUCGGACCUUGCGCGAUUGAAUGAGCCGAUGUCGGAUUAGCUAGUUGGCAGGGUAAAGGCCCACCAAGGCGACGAUCCGUAGCUGGUCUGAGAGGAUGAUCAGCCACACUGGAACUGAGACACGGUCCAGACUCCUACGGGAGGCAGCAGUGGGGAAUAUUGGACAAUGGGCGCAAGCCUGAUCCAGCCAUACCGCGUGGGUGAAGAAGGCCUUCGGGUUGUAAAGCCCUUUUGUUGGGAAAGAAAAGCAGCAGGUUAAUACCCCGCUGUUCUGACGGUACCCAAAGAAUAAGCACCGGCUAACUUCGUG
This 492-nucleotide ribosomal RNA is filed under the name uncultured bacterium. RNAcentral's name for it is "partial 16S ribosomal RNA". It matches the Rfam family "Bacterial small subunit ribosomal RNA", at positions 29 to 507 of the family's 1533-position model. The record is from RNAcentral.